RNAcentral lists this ribosomal RNA (253 nucleotides) under uncultured bacterium. RNAcentral's name for it is "partial 16S ribosomal RNA". It matches the Rfam family "Bacterial small subunit ribosomal RNA", at positions 524 to 776 of the family's 1533-position model. The record is from RNAcentral.
UACGUAGGGCGCAAGCGUUAUCCGGAAUUAUUGGGCGUAAAGAGCUCGUAGGCGGUUUGCCGCGUCUGCCGUGAAAGUCCGGGGCUCAACUCCGGAUCUGCGGUGGGUACGGGCAGACUAGAGUGAUGUAGGGGAGACUGGAAUUCCUGGUGUAGCGGUGAAAUGCGCAGAUAUCAGGAGGAACACCGGUGGCGAAGGCGGGUCUCUGGGCCGAAACUGACGCUGAGGAGCGAAAGCGUGGGGAGCAAACAGG